GGUUCCUCUGGCCACGUGGAGAUCAUCUCUGGCAUUUGACUAGCUGGGUAAUGUUUUACUUCUCCUGACCAAGAUGGCUCGCUCAAAUUAAUCCUGCAGUCACUGAGACUGGAAGUACAGUUCCUACCUCCUGAUGGUUACCAGCAGCCUGUUUGAACAGAGUUGAUGACUCCCAGUGGUGUUCUUGAUGGGCAAUGUCUCCAUCUUUUAAAAUCAUCCUUACAGACAGGAAAUGGGCAUAAUGCUUGGAGCUGUCAAUGCAAGGACCCUCCACCGGUGCCUAACAACCUUGCUGAAUUAUAUUCCUGUCAGCAGAAAGCAGGAAAUGAGUUACAGUGAUUUAAACAUGGGACUAGAAGAGUUCGACCUUCCAACUACAAAAAGGAAUACUCUCAUUAAUGCCCUGUUUUCUUGAUAAUGUAUGUAUUUUUUUGUCUGAUCAUGCACUGAGUCCCAGUGCUGUGGUAGCUUCUGACCGGGAGA
Hirundo rustica (Barn swallow) is the source of this 483-nucleotide long non-coding RNA. RefSeq lists it as uncharacterized. Lineage: Eukaryota; Metazoa; Chordata; Aves; Passeriformes; Hirundinidae. The record is from RefSeq and is a predicted model, not a curated record. The transcript is spliced from 3 exons.